CAGCAGCAGCGGUAACACGUAGGGGGCGAGCGUUGUCCGGAUUUAUUGGGCGUAAAGAGCUCGUAGGCGGCUCAGUAAGUCAGGUGUGAAAACUCCAGGCUCAACCUGGAGACGCCACUUGAUACUGCUGUGGCUAGAGUCCGGUAGGGGAGCAUGGAAUUCCUGGUGUAGCGGUGAAAUGCGCAGAUAUCAGGAGGAACACCAGUGGCGAAGGCGGUGCUCUGGGCCGGAACUGACACUGAGGCACGAAAGCGUGGGGAGC
Molecule: ribosomal RNA, 262 nt
Filed under: uncultured bacterium
Lineage: Bacteria
Description: partial 16S ribosomal RNA
Rfam family: Bacterial small subunit ribosomal RNA
Source: RNAcentral